GACGAACGCUGGCGGCGUGCUUAACACAUGCAAGUCGAACGGAAAGGCCCUGCUUUUGUGGGGUGCUCGAGUGGCGAACGGGUGAGUAACACGUGAGUAACCUGCCCUUGACUUUGGGAUAACUUCAGGAAACUGGGGCUAAUACCGGAUAGGAGCUCCUGCUGCAUGGUGGGGGUUGGAAAGUUUCGGCGGUUGGGGAUGGACUCGCGGCUUAUCAGCUUGUUGGUGGGGUAGUGGCUUACCAAGGCUUUGACGGGUAGCCGGCCUGAGAGGGUGACCGGCCACAUUGGGACUGAGAUACGGCCCAGACUCCUACGGGAGGCAGCAGUGGGGAAUAUGGCACAAUGGGCGGAAGCCUGAUGCAGCAACGACGCGUGCGGGAUGACGGACUUCGGGUUGUAAACCGAUUUCGCCUGUGACGAAGCGUGAGUGACGGUAAUGGGUAAAGAAGCACCGGCUAACUACGUG
RNAcentral lists this ribosomal RNA (468 nucleotides) under uncultured bacterium. RNAcentral describes it as "partial 16S ribosomal RNA". It matches the Rfam family "Bacterial small subunit ribosomal RNA", at positions 28 to 507 of the family's 1533-position model. The record is from RNAcentral.